Molecule: non-coding RNA, 296 nt
Filed under: Cavia porcellus (domestic guinea pig)
Lineage: Eukaryota; Metazoa; Chordata; Mammalia; Rodentia; Caviidae
Source: RNAcentral
AAUUCCAGCGAGAGGCAGAGGGAGCGAGCGGGCGGGCCGCCGGGGUGGAAGAGCGGAGGGAGCACCGCAGCUCCGAGCGUUCUGGGAAGGAGCCCCAGAGGCUUGGAUAGGGGCUUCGCCUCGGGCCCCGCCGCCCCCUCCCCGCCCUCCCGCUGACCCCACCGUCGGCCCGCGGCGCUCGCCUGGUCCGGGAAACUUUACGCGUUGCAGCGGGCGGACACUUUGCCCUGGGACUUACAACAGCCGGCGAGGACGCAGGAGGCUAUUCCUUCUAUUUGGGGACACUUCCCAGCCUC